UACGUAGGGGCCCAGCGUUGUCCGGAUUUAUUGGGUGUAAAGAGCUCGUAGGCGGUUCAGUAAGGCGGGUGUGAAAACUCUGGGCUCAACCCAGAGACGCCACCCGAUACUGCUGUGACUUGAGUACGGUAGGGGAGUGGGGAAUUCCUGGUGUAGCGGUGAAAUGCGCAGAUAUCAGGAGGAACACCAGUGGCGAAGGCGCCACUCUGGGCCGUAACUGACGCUGAGGCACGAAAGCGUGGGGAGCAAACAGG
This 254-nucleotide ribosomal RNA is filed under the name uncultured bacterium. RNAcentral describes it as "partial 16S ribosomal RNA". It matches the Rfam family "Bacterial small subunit ribosomal RNA", at positions 524 to 776 of the family's 1533-position model. The record is from RNAcentral.